Molecule: ribosomal RNA, 253 nt
Filed under: uncultured bacterium
Lineage: Bacteria
Description: partial 16S ribosomal RNA
Rfam family: Bacterial small subunit ribosomal RNA
Source: RNAcentral
GACGUAGGGGGCCAGCGUUGUUCGGAAUUACUCGGUGUAAAGGGUUCGUAGGCGGUGCGGCAAGUUGGGUGUGAAAUCUCUGGGCUUAACCCAGAGGCUGCUUCCAAAACUGCUGUGCUUGAGUGUGGGAGAGGCGCGUGGAAUUGCAGGUGUAGCGGUGAAAUGCGUAGAUAUCUGCAGGAACACCCGUGGCGAAAGCGGCGCGCUGGACCACUACUGACGCUGAGGAACGAAAGCUAGGGGAGCAAACAGG